GAAUGGACAAACGAAAAUUAUGCUGUCUCGAUAAAUUCCCUAAAAACUAUCCUUCAAGUGAAGAGACUUGAAUUAAAAUAAAAGACAAGAAGACCCUGUAGAGCCUCAAUUUAUAUUAAACCCAAAAGUAAAAUACAUUAAAUCUUUAAUACCAUUUUAGUUGGGGCGACUAAGGACCAUCAAAACCCUCCUUCAUACAAAAGGCUUAUAAGCCUAAAUAAUGACCCAUUACAUGACCAAAAAACAAGGCUACCUCAGGGAUAACAGUCUAAUCUUCCUCAAGAGCCCAUAUUGACAGGAAGGAUUGGCACCUCGAU
RNAcentral lists this ribosomal RNA (317 nucleotides) under Aricidea assimilis. RNAcentral's name for it is "partial large subunit ribosomal RNA". It matches the Rfam family "Bacterial large subunit ribosomal RNA", at positions 1994 to 2530 of the family's 2925-position model. The record is from RNAcentral. Lineage: Eukaryota; Metazoa; Annelida; Polychaeta; Paraonidae.